AUACGGAGGGUGCAAGCGUUAUCCGGAAUUAUUGGGUUUAAAGGGUCCGUAGGCGGCUAGAUAAGUCAGUGGUGAAAUUCUCUCGCUCAACGAGAGACCUGCCAUUGAUACUGUCUUGGCUAGAGUUACAGUGAGGUGAGUGGAAUGUGUAGUGUAGCGGUGAAAUGCAUAGAUAUUACACAGAACACCGAUUGCGAAGGCAGCUCACUAACUGUAUACUGACGCUGAUGGACGAAAGCGUGGGGAGCAAACAGGAUUAGAAACCCUAGUAGUCC
This 275-nucleotide ribosomal RNA is filed under the name uncultured bacterium. RNAcentral describes it as "partial 16S ribosomal RNA". It matches the Rfam family "Bacterial small subunit ribosomal RNA", at positions 523 to 796 of the family's 1533-position model. The record is from RNAcentral.